GGACCAUUUGCAUUAUAGACUAAAUUUUGAUCUAGACAAAAAUUUCAUCACAGCUUGAAAGAGCAUCACAAAAUUAGUAAUAUUCCAAAGUUUCGUUCCGUAAUGUUAUAAAAUGCGGAUAAUAUAGCCUUGCGAAGUUUGCCGUUUUUCAGUCAUUUUGUAUUACGCACGGGAAAUUGACAGCCCAAUCGGGUGUUGGGGCAUCAAUUUCCCGUUUGUAAUCCAAAAUGACUGAAAAUUGCAAAUUUCGCAAGGCUAUAUUAUCCGCAUUUUACAACAUUUCGCAACGAAACUUUGGAAUAUUACUAAUUUUGUGAUGCUCUUUCAAGCUGUGAUGAAAUUUUUGUCAAGAUCAAAAUUUAGUCUAUAAUGCAAAUGGUC
This is a non-coding RNA of Paramuricea clavata, 381 nucleotides long. NCBI's taxonomy places the organism in Eukaryota, Metazoa, Cnidaria, Anthozoa, Malacalcyonacea, Plexauridae. The record is from the annotation of a GenBank genome assembly.